This is an RNA transcript of Oryzias melastigma (Indian medaka), 1731 nucleotides long. It is a transcript of the gene named twist family bHLH transcription factor 1b, with no coding region annotated. NCBI's taxonomy places the organism in Eukaryota, Metazoa, Chordata, Actinopteri, Beloniformes, Adrianichthyidae. The record is from RefSeq and is a predicted model, not a curated record. The transcript is spliced from 2 exons.
AAAUAAGUGACUUGUAGCUGUACUAUUUGGGUUUUAGAUGAAAAAUGUUGAAUAUAAGAGAAAAUAUAUGAAGAAAUAAAAUAAUUUAAAAAACAAUUUUAGGAAGAUAAUAGACUUUAUUCCCUUGCACCUCUUUUUCAUAUUUAGCUGAAGUAGCCAUUGCAUUUCUGGUGUAUUACUUUCUUACCCAAAACAUUGUAAUCCACUUUUAUUUUCUUUAAAAAAAAUAAUUGUGUAAUCUUAUGAAAUAGCGCCUCCAGUUAUCUUUACCAACUCUGGCUUUGCGCAGAGAUUGUUUAACAGUUUCUCGGAUGCUACCUCCCACUCCUCCACGUAGAUCCCCCUCUUAACCAAUCCCAUGCCUCCCCAAAAAGUUUACGCCAUGCAGCCUAUAAGAAGUGCCUAAGUUUCUCAAGUAACAGAAAGACUUGUCCUCUCAGGAACACAUCUAUGGAUUCUUUAGAUGUCUCCAAAAGCCCGCAGAUCUUUGGUUGGACGAACUCCCUGACUCCAUGAGAGGGGGGUUGCUUUGACUCUGUCUGCUGGACGCCUAUACCAGGUGGGAAUGUCUGAGGAAAAUCUGGGGGAAGACUCGGCCAGCUCCCCUGUCUCUCCUGUGGACAGUGUGAGCAACAGCGAGGGGGAGCUGGACAGACCGCCGAAGAGAUGUGGGAGGAAGAGGAGACCGAGCAGGAAAAACGGGGAGGACUCAGAUAGCCCGACCCCUGGGAAAAGAGGGAAGAAGUCCAGCAGCAGCAGCCCGCAGUCUUUCGAGGAGCUCCAGUCGCAGCGCGUCAUGGCCAACGUCCGGGAACGACAGAGGACGCAAUCUCUCAACGAGGCGUUCGCGGCUUUGCGCAAAAUCAUCCCCACUUUGCCCUCCGACAAACUCAGCAAAAUACAGACUCUAAAGCUGGCAGCCAGAUACAUCGACUUCCUCUGCCAGGUGCUGCAGAGCGACGAGCUGGACUCCAAGUUGUCAAGCUGCAGUUAUGUGGCGCACGAGAGGCUGAGCUACGCCUUCUCUGUGUGGAGGAUGGAGGGCGCCUGGUCCAUGUCAACAUCUCACUAGCACCUGGAGAAACCCUGCCCAAAAUGGUACGCCGGGUUCCAAAACCCAAACCUGCACUAUUCAAGCUGAAAAUGUGACUGCUGAAUUUAUUUCCUGAAGGAACAACCUGGAGUCCAAUGCUGGAUACAUGGGAUCACUGCCACAGACGACUGAAGCUCUGCGUGGGGAUCUUUUUUUAUAUAUAAGAGGCCCGACAGCCUUGCGUCAGCUCCCCACUCUGAUGAGUUUUCAUGCUGUUGACGAAGAAUGUUCAAAAAAUAUCUUUUUUGUGGUGUUUUUCUAAUCUUUUCCUUUUUUAAAAAAAAUCUGUGUUUAAAUGCAUGCAUUUAGACUUUUCUCUGUGGUCAAAGUGCAUCAUUGAAGUCUCAGUAUUUCUUCAGCCGGUGGUGUUGCUCAUGCAGGCUGACUUUGUGGAUCUAACCUGUGCAAAAAAAAGGAAAAGUAUUUUGAGAAUAUUUAUUUAUUGAGGAAACGAGGAGGAAUAGAUCCUGUGUCUGGAAUAAAAUGCAUUCCUAUUUUUUUUUAUAAUCGCCUCUUUUAUAAAUGUUUGUAUAUAUGUUUUUGCAUUAAAGAAAAGUACGAUGGGAGGACUGGAGUUUUUUUUGUUCCUUUCUGUGCAUGAAGGCCAAAAAUGAAAAAUAAAAUUAAAAAUAAAUAAA